RNAcentral lists this ribosomal RNA (1356 nucleotides) under Chlamydia psittaci. RNAcentral's name for it is "bacterial SSU rRNA". It matches the Rfam family "Bacterial small subunit ribosomal RNA", at positions 102 to 1439 of the family's 1533-position model. The record is from RNAcentral. Lineage: Bacteria; Pseudomonadati; Chlamydiota; Chlamydiia; Chlamydiales; Chlamydiaceae.
AAGGGUUAGUAAUACAUAGAUAAUCUGUCCUCAACUUGGGAAUAACGGUUGGAAACGACCGCUAAUACCGAAUGUGGUAUGUUUAGGCAUCUAAAACAUAUUAAAGAAGGGGAUCUUCGGACCUUUCGGUUGAGGGAGAGUCUAUGGGAUAUCAGCUUGUUGGUGGGGUAAUGGCCUACCAAGGCUUUGACGUCUAGGCGGAUUGAGAGAUUGACCGCCAACACUGGGACUGAGACACUGCCCAGACUUCUACGGAAGGCUGCAGUCGAGAAUCUUUCGCAAUGGACGAAAGUCUGACGAAGCGACGCCGCGUGUGUGAUGAAGGCUCUAGGGUUGUAAAGCACUUUCGCUUGGGAAUAAGAGAGAUUGGCUAAUAUCCAAUCGAUUUGAGCGUACCAGGUAAAGAAGCACCGGCUAACUCCGUGCCAGCAGCUGCGGUAAUACGGAGGGUGCUAGCGUUAAUCGGAUUUAUUGGGCGUAAAGGGCGUGUAGGCGGAAAGGAAAGUUAGAUGUUAAAUCUUGGGGCUCAACCCCAAGCCAGCAUCUAAUACUAUCUUUCUAGAGGGUGGAUGGAGAAAAGGGAAUUCCACGUGUAGCGGUGAAAUGCGUAGAUAUGUGGAAGAACACCAGUGGCGAAGGCGCUUUUCUAAUUUACACCUGACGCUAAGGCGCGAAAGCAAGGGGAGCAAACAGGAUUAGAUACCCUGGUAGUCCUUGCCGUAAACGAUGCAUACUUGAUGUGGAUAGUCUCAACCCUAUCCGUGUCGUAGCUAACGCGUUAAGUAUGCCGCCUGAGGAGUACACUCGCAAGGGUGAAACUCAAAAGAAUUGACGGGGGCCCGCACAAGCAGUGGAGCAUGUGGUUUAAUUCGAUGCAACGCGAAGAACCUUACCUGGGCUUGACAUGUAUUUGACCGCGGCAGAAAUGUCGUUUUCCGCAAGGACAGAUACACAGGUGCUGCAUGGCUGUCGUCAGCUCGUGCCGUGAGGUGUUGGGUUAAGUCCCGCAACGAGCGCAACCCUUAUCGUUAGUUGCCAGCACUUAGGGUGGGAACUCUAACGAGACUGCCUGGGUUAACCAGGAGGAAGGCGAGGAUGACGUCAAGUCAGCAUGGCCCUUAUGCCCAGGGCUACACACGUGCUACAAUGGCCAGUACAGAAGGUAGCAAUAUCGUGAGAUGGAGCAAAUCCUCAAAGCUGGCCCCAGUUCGGAUUGUAGUCUGCAACUCGACUACAUGAAGUCGGAAUUGCUAGUAAUGGCGUGUCAGCUAUAACGCCGUGAAUACGUUCCCGGGCCUUGUACACACCGCCCGUCACAUCAUGGGAGUUGGUUUUGCCUUAAGUCGUUGACUCAAC